GGUCAAGCUACAAAGGGCACAGGGUGAAUGCCUUGGCACUGGGAGCCGACGAAAGACGUGAUAAGCUGCGAAAAGCCACGGGGAGCUGCAAAUAAGCCUUGAUCCGUGGAUAUCUGAAUGGAGCAAUCCGGCGGAUGUAACGAUCCGUCAUGGCAUACUGAAUCCAUAGGUAUGUCAGGGGAACCGCCUGAACUGAAACAUCUAAGUAGGGCGAGGAAGAGAAAUCAACCGAGAUUCCGUAAGUAGUGGCGAGCGAAAGCGGAAGAGGCCAAACCGCAUGCAGCAAUGUGUGCGGGGUUGCGGACUGCAUAAGGUAUGUUGAAGUCUAGCUGAACUGUAUGGGAAGGCAGACCGGAGAGCGUGAGAGUCGCGUAAGCGAAAGACAGAGACAGCCGGCAGGAUCCAGAGUACCGCGGGACACGUGAAACCCCGUGGGAAGCCGGGGGGACCACCCUCCAAGCCUAAAUACUCCCCAGUGACCGAUAGAGAAUAGUACUGUGAAGGAAAGGUGAAAAGCACCCCGGGAGGGGAGUGAAACAGCACCUGAAACCCUGAGCCUACAAGCACAUAGAGCACGUCAAAGUGUGAUAUGGUACCUUUUGUAGAAUGGUCCGGCGAGCGUAUGUAUGCAGCAAGGUUAAGCGCUUAAGGCGUGGAGCCGAAGGGAAACCGAGUCUGAAUAGGGCGUGAAGUUGCAUGCAUAGGGCCCGAAACCGGGUGACCUAUCCAUGUCCAGGUUGAAGUGGGAGUAAAAUCCCAUGGAGGACCGAACCGACCUCCGUUGAAAAGGCGGCGGAUGAGGUGUGGAUAGCGGAGAAAUUCCAAUCGAACCCGGAGAUAGCUGGUUCUCCCCGAAAUAGCUUUAGGGCUAGCGUUGUAUUAGAUUACCGGAGGUAAAGCACUGAAUGGGCUAGGGGCCGAGAGGUUACUGAACCCUAUCAAACUCUGAAUGCCGGAUAAUUGAUGUACAGCAGUCAGACUACGUGAGAUAAGUCUCGUGGUCGAGAGGGAAAAAGCCCAGACCCACAGCUAAGGUCCCAAAUACACGUUAAGUGGAAAAGGAUGUGGAGUUGCACAGACAACCAGGAUGUUGGCUUAGAAGCAGCCACUCAUUAAAAGAGUGCGUAAUAGCUCACUGGUCGAGUGACUCUGCGCCGAAAAUUCAACGGGGCUAAACGUGUAACCGAAGCUUGGGAUUUCAUUCACUGAACAAUGCUUUUUGUCAGGCAGGAGGGAAAGAUUUGCUGCCGAAGGCAGCUAAAUUUCCAAAAGCAAACGAGAGAGAAAGUAUUGGUCAGUGAAUGAAAUGGUAGGGGAGCGUCGUAUACGGGGUGAAGUAUGAGCGAAAGCGCAUGUGGACUGUAUACGAGUGAGAAUGCCGGAAUGAGUAGCGAGAAAUAUGUGAGAAUCAUAUUGGCCGAAAGUCUAAGGUUUCCGGAGGAAGGUUCGUCCGCUCCGGGUAAGCCGGGAGCUAAGGUGAGGCCGGAAGGCGUAGCCGAUGCACAUACGGUAGAGAUUCCGUAGCUGCCGGAGGAUUUAAGCAGAGGGACACUGUCAAAGGGUAUGACCCGGGCGUUGGUAGCCCCGGGCGAAAGGGACUGAAAUAUAGUAGGGAAGCAUACUUGGCGGCAGGCGAGAAAAGCUCUGUGGAUAUCUGAGGCACCCGUACCGCAAACCGACACAGGUAGACAGGAAGAGAAUUCUAAGGCCAACGGGAGAAGGGUUGUUAAGGAACUCGGCAAGUUGACCCCGUAACUUAGGGAAAAGGGGUGCUCCUGAAAGGGAGCCGCAGAGAAUAGGUCCAGGCGACUGUUUAGCAAAAACACAGCUCUAUGCUAAAUCGAAAGAUGACGUAUAUGGGGUGACACCUGCCCGGUGCCGGAAGGUUAAGAGGAGGAGUGAGAGCUCUGAAUUGAAGCCCCGGUAAACGGCGGCCGUAACUAUAACGGUCCUAAGGUAGCGAAAUUCCUUGUCAGGUAAGUUCUGACCCGCACGAAUGGUGUAACGAUCUGGACACUGUCUCAACAGCCCGCCCGGCGAAAUUGUAGUACCGGUGAAGAUGCCGGUUACCCGCGACAAGACGGAAAGACCCCAUGGAGCUUUACUGCAGCUUAAUAUUGGAUUUCGGUAUUUCAUGUACAGGAUAGGUGGGAGGCAGAGAAGGCAGCACGCCAGUGUUGCUGGAGCCGCCGUUGGGAUACCACUCUUGAGGUGCUGAAAUUCUAACCUGCGGCCGUGAAUCCGGUCGGGGGACAGUGUUAGGCGGGCAGUUUGACUGGGGCGGUCGCCUCCAAAAAGGUAACGGAGGCGCUCAAAGGUUGGCUCAGCAUGGACGGAAACCAUGCCAGAGAGUGUAAACGCACAAGCCAGCCUAACUGCGAGAGCGACAGUUCGAGCAGUAACGAAAGUUGGAGUUAGUGAUCCGGUGGUAUGUGAGUGGAAAUGCCAUCGCUCAACGGAUAAAAGCUACCCUGGGGAUAACAGGCUGAUCUCCCCCAAGAGUCCACAUCGUCGGGGAGGUUUGGCACCUCGAUGUCGGCUCAUCGCAUCCUGGGGCUGAAUUCGGUCCCAAGGGUUUGGCUGUUCGCCAAUUAAAGCGGUACGCGAGCUGGGUUCAGAACGUCGUGAGACAGUUCGGUCCCUAUCUGUCGUGGGCGCAGGAUAUUUGAGAGGAGCUGUCCCUAGUACGAGAGGACCGGGAUGGACGUACCUCUGGUGCACCAGUUGUCGUGCCAACGGCACAGCUGGGCAGCUAAGUACGGAUCGGAUAAACGCUGAAGGCAUCUAAGCGUGAAGCCGACCUCAAGAUAAGAUAUGCCACUGAGUAAUCAGGUAAGACCCCUUGAAGACUACAAGGUUGAUAGGCCGCAUGUGGAAGCGUCGUGAGGCGUGCAGCAAGGCGGUACUAAUCGGUCGAGGGCUUGACCAG
This 2929-nucleotide ribosomal RNA is filed under the name Anaerotruncus colihominis. Its description in RNAcentral is "23S ribosomal RNA". It matches the Rfam family "Bacterial large subunit ribosomal RNA". The record is from RNAcentral. Lineage: Bacteria; Bacillati; Bacillota; Clostridia; Eubacteriales; Oscillospiraceae.